GACAGAGGUGGCGAGCGUUGAUCGGAAUCACUGGGCUUAAAGGGCGAGAAGGCGGUAGGGUAAGUCUGAGGUGGAAUCCUAAGGCUUAACCAUAGAACUGCCCUGGAAACUGUUCUGCUUGAGUCAGUGAGGGGAGGGCGGAAUUCCCGGUGUAGCGGUGAAAUGCGUAGAUAUGUGGAGGAACGCCGGUGGCGAAGGCGGCCCUCUGGCGCUGUACUGACGCUGAUGCGCGAAAGCGUGGGGAGCAAACAGG
RNAcentral lists this ribosomal RNA (253 nucleotides) under uncultured bacterium. RNAcentral's name for it is "partial 16S ribosomal RNA". It matches the Rfam family "Bacterial small subunit ribosomal RNA", at positions 524 to 776 of the family's 1533-position model. The record is from RNAcentral.